UGGUUCAGUGGUAGAAUUCUCACCUUCCAUGUGGGAGACCUGGAUUCAAUUCCCAG
RNAcentral lists this transfer RNA (56 nucleotides) under Loxodonta africana (African savanna elephant). It matches the Rfam family "tRNA", at positions 8 to 63 of the family's 71-position model. From Rfam's summary of the family: Transfer RNA (tRNA) molecules are approximately 80 nucleotides in length. Their secondary structure includes four short double-helical elements and three loops (D, anti-codon, and T loops). Further hydrogen bonds mediate the characteristic L-shaped molecular structure. tRNAs have two regions of fundamental functional importance: the anti-codon, which is responsible for specific mRNA codon recognition, and the 3' end, to which the tRNAs corresponding amino acid is attached (by aminoacyl-tRNA synthetases). tRNAs cope with the degeneracy of the genetic code in two manners: having more than one tRNA (with a specific anti-codon) for a particular amino acid; and 'wobble' base-pairing, i.e. permitting non-standard base-pairing at the 3rd anti-codon position. The record is from Rfam by way of RNAcentral. Lineage: Eukaryota; Metazoa; Chordata; Mammalia; Proboscidea; Elephantidae.